Molecule: ribosomal RNA, 498 nt
Filed under: uncultured bacterium
Lineage: Bacteria
Description: partial 16S ribosomal RNA
Rfam family: Bacterial small subunit ribosomal RNA
Source: RNAcentral
AUUGAACGCUGGCGGCAUGCCUUACACAUGCAAGUCGAACGGUAACAGGUCUUCGGAUACUGACGAGUGGCGAACGGGUGAGUAAUACAUCGGAACGUGCCCGAGAGUGGGGGAUAACGGAGCGAAAGCUUUGCUAAUACCGCAUACGAUCUACGGAUGAAAGCAGGGGACCGCAAGGCCUUGCGCUCAUGGAGCGGCCGAUGGCAGAUUAGGUAGUUGGUGGGAUAAAAGCUUACCAAGCCGACGAUCUGUAGCUGGUCUGAGAGGACGACCAGCCACACUGGGACUGAGACACGGCCCAGACUCCUACGGGAGGCAGCAGUGGGGAAUUUUGGACAAUGGGCGCAAGCCUGAUCCAGCCAUGCCGCGUGCAGGAUGAAGGCCUUCGGGUUGUAAACUGCUUUUGUACGGAACGAAAAGCCUCUUUCGAAUAAAGAGAAGUCAUGACGGUACCGUAAGAAUAAGCACCGGCUAACUACGUGCCAGCCGCCGCCGUAA